This 253-nucleotide ribosomal RNA is filed under the name uncultured bacterium. Its description in RNAcentral is "partial 16S ribosomal RNA". It matches the Rfam family "Bacterial small subunit ribosomal RNA", at positions 524 to 776 of the family's 1533-position model. The record is from RNAcentral.
UACGUAGGGUGCGAGCGUUAAUCGGAAUUACUGGGCGUAAAGCGUGCGCAGGCGGCCUUGCAAGACAGAUGUGAAAUCCCCGGGCUCAACCUGGGAACUGCAUUUGUGACUGCAAGGCUAGAGUACGGCAGAGGGGGAUGGAAUUCCGCGUGUAGCAGUGAAAUGCGUAGAUAUGCGGAGGAACACCAAUGGCGAAGGCAAUCCCCUGGGCCUGUACUGACGCUCAGGUGCGAAAGCGUGGGGAGCAAACAGG